Molecule: long non-coding RNA, 4986 nt
Filed under: Linum usitatissimum (flax)
Lineage: Eukaryota; Viridiplantae; Streptophyta; Magnoliopsida; Malpighiales; Linaceae
Description: long non-coding RNA (LUSI_LNC003558)
Source: RNAcentral
UUUCCGAUAAUUAAUGGAAUUAUGCGGGAUACUCAUAUACAGAGACCUCGUGCUCCUAGAACUGCAUUCCCUCUUGCUCUUAUUCUCUCACCUACAAGAGAACUAUCUUCCCAGGUGCGAUAUGUUUGGUUUUUUUCCCAGUCGAAAUAUGUUCUUAAUUUCUAGUCUGACUUUUGGCUAAUUUAUUCUAGCUUUUAAUAUGAUUACAGAUACAUGAUGAAGCCAAAAAAUUUUCUUAUCAAACUGGUGUAAGAGUGGUUGUUGCUUAUGGAGGGGCACCAAUUAUGAAUCAGGUUUGUCAAUGUGUAUUGUGCCUUUUCUAUUCUCUUAUGAUACAUUCAUUAUGUUUCUUUUGGACUACUUAGAAGUUGUGCUGUAGAAAGCUGAUAAGUUUACAUUUUGAUCUUACUUUGCUUUAGUAACUUUUUUGUUUGCUUGAACAGUUGAGAGAACUUGAAAGGGGGGUUGAUAUUCUCGUAGCUACUCCGGGUCGAUUGGUUGAUUUGCUUGAGAGGGCUAGGGUGUCAUUGCAGAUGAUCAGAUUCCUUGCACUCGAUGAGGCUGAUAGGAUGCUUGAUAUGGGAUUUGAGCCUCAAAUCAGAAAGAUAGUUGAACAAGUGGACAUGCCUCCAUCUGGGAUGAGGCAGACUAUGCUUUUUAGUGCUACUUUCCCAAAAGAAAUACAGGUAUAAUAUCAUUCCAGAAGUCAUUUUUGGCAUUAAAUUUGUUUGGUGAUAUUUAGACAUGGUAGUGUGAUAUCUUACAGUAGUUUUGGAUACGUACAUGCAGAGACUUGCAUCAGACUUCCUUUCAAAUUACAUUUUCUUGGCUGUUGGAAGGGUUGGCUCCAGCACUGAUUUGAUUCUUCAGAGAGUUGAAUAUGUCCAAGAUGCUGACAAGAGAAGCCAUCUCAUGGACCUUCUUCAUGCACAGAAAGAAAGUGAAGCUAAUAGCAAGGUAAUGUUUUCUCCUUGUUGCACGCUGGAAAUGUUUUGUUCCACCGAAAAAAUGAAGCAAGAUCCUUACCUCUAAAACUUGUUUAUGAAGGCUCAAAAUGAUUAUUUUGUUUAUAAGCAUGUGUUGGGAUCAUUUCAUACUUGUCGGUUUUAUAAGCAACAAAUUCAUAUUGGCUUUUUUCUCGUGUCUGCAGCCAUCCUUGACAUUAGUGUUUGUGGAGACCAAGAAGGGAGCCGAUUCUCUGGAGUAUUGGCUGUGUCAAAGCGGGUUCCCCGCCACUACAAUUCAUGGUGAUAGAUCACAGCAGGUUAGUUUCUUCUGAAUGUUAUAAAGGGACACAAGACAUGCUUCAGUUUUCUGAAGUGGUUGCCUGCCCAUGAUUCUUUUACUUCAGUGCUGAAUUGUGUAUAAACCAUUAGUAGGGGGGUUUUCCAAAGCAAUACAAUGGUAGGUUCUAGUUCAUUUUGUUUUGUAGGAAACCCCAUCGAUGAGGAAAAGCGUCAUGGCUGAAUGUUCUAAACCGUGUUAUUCUUAUAUCCUGUUCAAUGUGUAUGCUAGUGGGCAGUGGCUCUUUUGUAUUUUCGAUAUUUGCGAGUAAUUGCUUUCGAUGUAUCUAGGCAGCUGAUAAUUUUGUUGGACUUUGUUGCAGGAAAGAGAACUUGCAUUGAGAUCCUUCAAGAGUGGAAGGACCCCAAUUCUAGUGGCACCAGACGUAGCGGCUCGUGGUCUAGACAUACCGCAUGUGGCACACGUCGUCAACUUCGACCUCCCCAACGACAUCGACGAUUAUGUCCACAGAAUAGGACGUACCGGACGAGCUGGGAAAUCUGGUCUUGCUACAGCCUUCUUCAACGACAACAACGGCUCAUUGGCAAGGUCACUAGUAGAAUUGAUGCAAGAAGCAAACCAAGAAGUUCCCGCUUGGCUAGUCCGAUACGCGUCACGCUCUUCGUACGGUGGAGGCAAGAAUCGCCGGUCUGGCGGAGGGCGCUUUGGUGGACGAGACAUCAGAAGGGAAGGGUCCUUCAGUAGGGGAGGUGGAGACUAUCACCGCGGCGGGAGCAGCGGUGGUGGCGGUAGUUACGGGGUCCCUGGAGGUGGUUAUGGCAUGGGUUCAGGAGUGACCAGUGCUUGGGAUUAGGCAAGGCAAAUAUUUCUUGUUGAUUUGAACACGUAUAUGGUUCCAGAAUUUCUUAGUAGUAGGCACUUAGGUUCUACUAACAAUGAAGAAGUUGUGUACUGUUUUUUCUUUUUUUGGGUCGUUUUUUGUUCUGGAGGUUGAAUAUGGUUAGUGGUUUGGUGGGUUUUUUCUUUAGCCCUAACUGAAACUGAAUGUCAUUUGUUCUACUGUGUACUGAAAACUAUAUGAAAGCCCACAUCAUUCCUAUUGAGAGAAAAAUUCUACUUCUUUUUACCAUUUUUACACCAAUUUUGACUGUGUAAUGGAUUUACCCUUCCCUGUAAUUAUUCAAUUCAAUCUGCAUAACUAUUGUUGUUCUGUACAGAUGAUUGUGUUGGCCAUAUCAGAAUCCCAAAUUGUACAAAAUUUUAUUACAAAUUACGCAAAUCAUACAUAUUGCAACGACAAGGCAAACUUUAUCCCUUUAUAAAUACUGUAGUUGUAUUCUCAUGAGAUGUUUUUUCAUAAUCAAUAUACUAUUAGGUUUGUUGUACAACCUAUGAGAAUAUGUUUUCGAUCUGUUGUAAAAAGACAAUAUCCAGCUUUCCUCCAAUUAGGUUAUCUGUCAGGUUAUGAUUGGUGGAGAUUUAUGUUUCCUUUUAACAUGUACCAAAUACUACAAGGAUUGACGGAAUUUACCUUACAACUUCAAUCUUUUUGCAUUUGCGAUUAUGCAACACACCAUAUUAUUUUGGUUGAAAGGCUCCCUAUUUUUCGAUGGAUCAACUAAUGCCGGAUGAUGUGACAGUUCAUUAUGAUCAAUAUGAUUAUAGUAUAUUUAAGUAAACACAAAUAUGUAGUAAAUACGAUAGGGAUUAACGACAUCUGUCUUAAAACUCAAGUAUAUUUGUUUUCAUCAUACAUAAAAUUAAAUUUAUAAUUGCAACUUAUAUUAAAAUAAUUCUUCAUCACAUUUUGAGAAACCGAAGCUUCAGGAAUCUACAUAACAUGUUGUAAAAGUAAGAGAAAAAAGAAGAUACAAGAGUGGAAAGAAAAAAAAAAAAAAAUACUAAUGUGUAUUAAUGUGUAUACUUGGUGCAAUAAGAUAACAUUUAUAGUUAUAGAACAAUCUCAAAGGAUUAUAGUAUUACUACACUUGAAUAAGUUCGUGGGCGAGCACGUCAAUACAUACAUGAAUGAGUAGCAAUGAGAUUUCAAAUGACAUUGAAUUAAAUGAUCAAUGUGGAGAUGUGAGCUACACAAAAUUAUGUUUCACAUUCAUCAUGAUGGAUAACAUCUCAGUAUCUGCGGGCGUAUCGGUACCAUCUAUCCUAUAUUAUUGUCAUAUUAUCUAUNNNNNNNNNNNNNNNNNNNNNNNNNNNNNNNNNNNNNNNNUGAAGGUUCUUUGUAUAUAAGCCUUAUGAUAUAGUGUUAGAGGUUUAGAAUAAACGUGAUUUUAAAAAUUUGAGUUUAUAAAGUAAUAUUUGAAGGAUAAAAUUUGGUAUAUAAAGAUUAACAUCAUUCUUUAGUAUGGCAAACGCUAAAAUUCCUCCAUCAAAAGAGCAAAUAGUNNNCUCCAUCAAAAGAGCAAAUAGUUAUUCUCAUUAUCUAUAUUUCGUAGAUAUCGAAGUAUCCGAUAUUUAUAAGCCAUGUUUGAAUUUAAGAGAGAAAAAAAAGAAACACGCAAGAAGGGAAAAAAGAAAGAAACAUAGGGAAGACGUAAAUCUAGAGUCCCUCUUCAAAUCUAAUUUUUUUUUAUUUAAAAAAUGAAUAAUUAUAAAUAUCAUAAAAAUAUCUCAUUUCAUUCUAAAAUUUUUAUUCUCUUUACGUUUUCACGGCUCCUCUGCAAACAAACCGGUAUCUUUUGCGUUCGUAUGUCCGAUUCCCCCAAAAACCAGCUAGGGUUGUGCAUCUCUCUGGAUUCUCUCAUCAUCAAACCCACAGGUUUCUCCUCCUCCCCCUCUCUCGCCUUCUUCUUCUCCCUCCCGCUUUCUCUCUCUGUAUCUAUCGACCUCCUCUAUAUAUAGCCAUUCGCCAUUUCCCUUAUGCUUAGCUGCCUCGAGUAGAAUGCGGGAGAGGGUUAGAUUCCGAUCCCUUCGCGUUUUCUUCUUGCUGUUUUCUUUGUCGGAUUGCUAUUGAUUGUUCUCUUUAGUUAUCGUGAUUAUGAUUGUGUUGCUAGUUUGCUAUCCGAGGUUAAUGGUUGAAUCGGAUUUAGCGGACGUUGCUUGGUUUGUAAUGGGCCGUUGCUUAUGUUCUCCUAUUUGGAUUUCAUGUUUUUAUAGGUUGCUGGCAUUUUGAUUACCAAGGAGAAGACUGAACAGUUUUGAUAUUUGGAAGCUUGGAUUUUUGUUCUCACUCUUAGGAUUAGAUAAUCUGAAUUAUGACUACGCCAUGGGCUGAUUCUGUCGCUAGCUCAGCAUCAGACAAUGCUGGUUCAGGCGCUGGACGUUCUGCCUACGUCCCACCCCACCAACGUAAUAGACCACCAUCUGCUGCUCCUGCAGCUCAACCCUUUGCGGCAUGUGCCUCCUCCUGUAAAUACCUUUGCAGAGAUUGACUUGGGGGAUGCAGUAAAUCAAAAUAUACGGAGAUGCAAGUAUGUGAGACCAACACCCGUUCAGCGCCAUGCAAUCCCUAUAUUGCUUGCCGGACGUGACUUGAUGGCCUGUGCUCAGACAGGUUCGGGAAAGACUGCUGCUUUUUGCUUUCCGAUAAUUAAUGGAAUUAUGCGGGAUACUCAUAUACAGAGACCUCGUGCUCCUAGAACUGCAUUCCCUCUUGCUCUUAUUCUCUCACCUACAAGAGAGCUAUCUUCUCAGGUGGGAUAUGUUUAGAUUGCUCACCUAAAUUCUUUUAAUUCCUCUUCUGCGGUUGCUAAUUUAUUAUGUCUGGCUUUUAAUAUAAUUACA